This 487-nucleotide ribosomal RNA is filed under the name uncultured bacterium. RNAcentral's name for it is "bacterial SSU rRNA". It matches the Rfam family "Bacterial small subunit ribosomal RNA", at positions 30 to 508 of the family's 1533-position model. The record is from RNAcentral.
AUUGAACGCUGGCGGCAUGCUUUACACAUGCAAGUCGAACGGCAGCACGGGAGCUUGCUCCUGGUGGCGAGUGGCGAACGGGUGAGUAAUAUAUCGGAACGUGCCCAGUAAUGGGGGAUAGCCCGGUGAAAACCGGAUUAAUACCGCAUACGCCCUGAGGGGGAAAGCGGGGGAUCGUAAGACCUCGCGUUAUUGGAGCGGCCGAUAUCUGAUUAGCUAGUUGGUGGGGUAAGGGCCUACCAAGGCGACGAUCAGUAGCUGGUCUGAGAGGACGACCAGCCACACUGGGACUGAGACACGGCCCAGACUCCUACGGGAGGCAGCAGUGGGGAAUUUUGGACAAUGGGCGAAAGCCUGAUCCAGCCAUGCCGCGUGAGUGAAGAAGGCCUUCGGGUUGUAAAGCUCUUUCGCAAGGAAAGAAAACUUACCCUCUAAUACAGGGUGAGGUUGACGGUACCUUGAUAAGAAGCACCGGCUAACUACGUGC